UAAUGUAUGGGGAUCUGCCCGAUAGAGGGGAAUAACUACUGGAAACGGUGGCUAAUACCGCAUAAUGUCUACGGACCAAAGCAGGGGCUCUUCGGACCUUGCACUAUCGGAUGGACCCAUAUGGGAUUAGCUAGUAGGUGGGGUAAAGGCUCACCUAGGCGACGAUCUCUAGCUGGUCUGAGAGGAUGAUCAGCCACACUGGGACUGAGACACGGCCCAG
This 220-nucleotide ribosomal RNA is filed under the name uncultured bacterium. Its description in RNAcentral is "partial 16S ribosomal RNA". It matches the Rfam family "Bacterial small subunit ribosomal RNA", at positions 111 to 334 of the family's 1533-position model. The record is from RNAcentral.